Molecule: ribosomal RNA, 418 nt
Filed under: Burkholderia cepacia
Lineage: Bacteria; Pseudomonadati; Pseudomonadota; Betaproteobacteria; Burkholderiales; Burkholderiaceae
Description: bacterial SSU rRNA
Rfam family: Bacterial small subunit ribosomal RNA
Source: RNAcentral
CCUACGGGUGGCAGCAGUGGGGAAUUUUGGACAAUGGGCGAAAGCCUGAUCCAGCAAUGCCGCGUGUGUGAAGAAGGCCUUCGGGUUGUAAAGCACUUUUGUCCGGAAAGAAAUCCUUGGCUCUAAUACAGUCGGGGGAUGACGGUACCGGAAGAAUAAGCACCGGCUAACUACGUGCCAGCAGCCGCGGUAAUACGUAGGGUGCGAGCGUUAAUCGGAAUUACUGGGCGUAAAGCGUGCGCAGGCGGUUUGCUAAGUCCGAUGUGAAAUCCCCGGGCUCAACCUGGGAACUGCAUUGGUGACUGGCAGGCUAGAGUAUGGCAGAGGGGGGUAGAAUUCCACGUGUAGCAGUGAAAUGCGUAGAGAUGUGGAGGAAUCACCCGAUGGCGAAGGCAGCCUCCUCUGGCCAAUACUGACG